UGUCCUACCCAUCAAGCUGCCCUACUUGUUGUUACUGCGCAUGCGCACAAUUCAAAACGGCCAUGUUUCCGGUGUAAAUAGUACACGCCUAUUAUUUCAUCCUACCCCGAUCUUGUGCCGAUCUCGUUGCUUUCGAAAAAAGUUAUGGAGAACAAAUACGAGGAACUGCUCAUGUUUCUGUCUGCUGGGUCCUACCCAUCGGAAUACGAUAAGUCCCAGAGGCAAACCCUUAGGAGAUAUGCCGCAAAAUUCAGGCUGAAGGGCGGAGUGCUCUCGUUUGGAAACAGGAGAGUGAUAAA
This is a long non-coding RNA of Pundamilia nyererei, 299 nucleotides long. RefSeq lists it as uncharacterized. Lineage: Eukaryota; Metazoa; Chordata; Actinopteri; Cichliformes; Cichlidae. The record is from RefSeq and is a predicted model, not a curated record. The transcript is spliced from 3 exons.